UACGUAGGGUGCUAGCGUUGUCCGGAUUUAUUGGGCGUAAAGCGCACGUAGGCGGAUCGUUAAGUCGGGGGUGAAAUCCUGGAGCUCAACUCCAGAACUGCCUUCGAUACUGGCGAUCUUGAGUCCGGAAGAGGUGAGUGGAACUCCUAGUGUAGAGGUGGAAUUCGUAGAUAUUAGGAAGAACACCAGUGGCGAAGGCGGCUCACUGGUCCGGUACUGACGCUGAGGUGCGAAAGCGUGGGGAGCAAACAGG
RNAcentral lists this ribosomal RNA (253 nucleotides) under uncultured bacterium. Its description in RNAcentral is "partial 16S ribosomal RNA". It matches the Rfam family "Bacterial small subunit ribosomal RNA", at positions 524 to 776 of the family's 1533-position model. The record is from RNAcentral.